AGCAGCAGCCGCGGUAAUACGUAGGGUGCAAGCGUUAAUCGGAAUUACUGGGCGUAAAGCGUGCGUAGGCGGUGAGUUAAGUCUGCUGUGAAAUCCCCGGGCUCAACCUGGGAAUGGCAGUGGAUACUGACUCGCUAGAGUGUGUCAGAGGAUGGUGGAAUUCCCGGUGUAGCGGUGAAAUGCGUAGAGAUCGGGAGGAACAUCUGUGGCGAAGGCGACUAUCUGGGCCAACACUGACACUGAGGCACGAAAGCGUGGGGAGCAAACAGGAUUAGAUACCCGCGUAGUCCCUGUCUCUUAUAC
RNAcentral lists this ribosomal RNA (303 nucleotides) under uncultured bacterium. RNAcentral describes it as "partial 16S ribosomal RNA". It matches the Rfam family "Bacterial small subunit ribosomal RNA", at positions 507 to 807 of the family's 1533-position model. The record is from RNAcentral.